This 253-nucleotide ribosomal RNA is filed under the name uncultured bacterium. RNAcentral describes it as "partial 16S ribosomal RNA". It matches the Rfam family "Bacterial small subunit ribosomal RNA", at positions 524 to 776 of the family's 1533-position model. The record is from RNAcentral.
AACGUAGGUGGCAAGCGUUAUCCGGAUUUACUGGGCGUAAAGCAUGUGCAGACGGGUUGGUAAGUGGUGUAUGAAAGCGUCCGGCUUAACCGGGCAAGCGUAGGCCAGACUGCCAGUCUUGAGAGUGGGAGAGGGAUGUGGAAUUCCCGGUGUAGUGGUGAAAUGCGUAGAUAUCGGGAGGAACACCAGUGGCGAAGGCGACUACCUGGCCUGUUCUUGACGCUGAGGCGCGAAAGCUAGGGGAGCAAACGGG